CGAAAUGCAUUGAUUGGACGAAGUAACGUUUUUCUCCCUUUUUCAGAGAGCUGGUGGUAGGUGUGAAUCAGCAUAAAGGAAAAUGUGAAUUACCUCCAUGAGCAUCUAAUGGGAAAGACUUAACGUCUGUGUAGCAUUAGACGGUUCAGGCCGUUAAUCUGACUGAGUGGGAGAAAGAUUGCUUUCUUCAACAAGGGUGGUACCGCGAUCAAACUCGUCCCUUUU
Molecule: non-coding RNA, 225 nt
Rfam family: T-box leader
About the family: Uncharged tRNA acts as the effector for transcription antitermination of genes in the T-box leader family.